Molecule: long non-coding RNA, 3211 nt
Organism: Felis catus (domestic cat)
Lineage: Eukaryota; Metazoa; Chordata; Mammalia; Carnivora; Felidae
Exons: 3
Source: RefSeq, a predicted model, not a curated record
AGCAGACACGGGGAGCCUUCUUCCGGCCACAGCACAGAGCUCCGGUCGCAGCUCUUUAGCGGGACUUGGGUCACAUGGCCUUUCCCGGCCAAUCAGAUGGCUAGAGUCAGGAGCCACUCUGAUUGGCCGAGCCGGGUCACGUGCACGCCCGUGGCGCUUCCCCCCCCCCCCACCCUCACCACUGGACUAGAAGGGGGCCGCAGGGGCUCCUGUCCCAAGUUGGGGUGCUUUUCUCGGAGGGGCGCUGUGGGGCUUUGGGCUCCUCACCCUGGCCCCUCGCGACUUGGUCGGUCAGCAAGACCCCAACCCCCAAGACCCCGGCCCAAAGCACUAUGGGCACAGGGGGUCCCCCGGGCCUUGGGCUGGAGGCCAUGCGUCUUGCAGCGCACCUGUGCAGCAGCAGGUGCUGGGUCCGCGGGCCAAGUGCAGGCGCAGCGCACCCCCCACCCGCCCCCGCCCGAAGGCAGCAGCUCACCAAACCGAACCAACCAGAAACCUCGAUCAUUUCCUGAACGUUUACUGCUGACACCCCGUGGAGAUGGAAAAAAUGAAAACCUGUCCAGCGACCCAGGUUCCACCUGCUGUACCCGGUCCAACCUCUGCUUUCCAGGCAGAUAGGACAAGAGCUAGCCUAGCCCUCUUCAAAUCCAGCCCAGACAGAGGCUGGUUGGGCUGGUUCCCGUCCUCUGGCGGGAAAGGCCAGGGGGUCGCCAGCCCCAGACCUUGAGCCCCAGGAGCAGCUCUGGCUGCAGAGGGAUUUGCAAAUGAAUCUAGGGAGCCUCCGGGAAAGCAGCAGACUGCCCGGACCCACCGCCUGGCCCUUGCGGGCAGCGGAGACUUGCCGAUGAGAAGGCCUAAUCUGGAUGGACACGCUCCGGCCCCGGACCCAGCUCUGCCUGUGAAUUUCCACACGGCAACGACACGCAUCCUGGUCCGGACGUCGUGGGCUCAGCGUCAGGACGCGUGUGCCCGGGUGGUGGCUACCGAGUGACGUGGACAGACUGUGUGUGCUCUACGAGCCAAAUCGGCGGUAAUUAUUCCCUGUGGCAGAUCUGGAGCAAACACCCUCCAAAUUACCGUUGCCAUUUGGGUACUAAAAUGAACGAUUUGAAAGAGAAAGGCUGGUGAGUGAGCAAAGCCCUGAACACGCUCGCCGAUAUUUCGUCUUCAGAGGAGGAAACCGUGGGCAUGUUCAUAUCCCGUCCUCUUUCUGGCUGAGGCCUCGGAGCCUGGGGCCUGCUUCGGAUUCUGUGUCUCCCUCUCUGUCUGCCCCUCCCCUGCUCACUCUUUCUCAAAAGUAAACGUGGAAAAAAAAUUUUUUUUAAUAAAAAGAAAAAAAACUCUCCCAGACACCCCAGAGCCCAGAAGCGCGUCGUGCGGCCGCGCUCAACAGCAAGGCAGUCAACAAGAGCCACGGCUUCUAGCGGGCUCGUCGCUGCCCCGGACAAGGGAGGCAGGACCCUCGGCAGGUCCCCGCUGAGACGCCCCCCAGGACACAGAGCGUGCCUUCCCCAGUGUGAAGGAACUCAGGACCCACGAGCCCUUCCUGAAGGAGACUGAGCACUGGGUCCGUGGGAGGAUGUACCCCAAGUGAUGCUGGACUCGCGGUCCCAGAACUGGACGUCAGCGCUGUAAAGCGGGACCCACAAAAAGACGGAUACGGCCAACAAGAGUCAGAGGACGAAGGACAGAAGAAGGCAGCAGGAGCAUAUCGACGAAAGGGAAGGCCGGGUUUCUCCUUUUCCACGCCCUCUCCAGGCACCCGCGUGGGCUCAGCAGCCCGGAAGCUCUCCUGACCCUGGGAUUUCUGUGGGGACCUCAUCACAUGGGCAGCUGCCUACCUGAGUUCAUUGGCACACGAACCCUUUGGGGAAAGAAGCCUGCAUUUCUGUCUUGGUACUUUUCUGCACCGAUUACAUUCUUUGGGAGAAAAUGCUUUCUUGCACAAAAACAAGAGAGUACCUUUCUCCAAAGGAAAAAUACAGAAGUGCCGGAAGCAAACGUGCCAGGAUUUUACCAGCUGCUACUGCCGGGCCAUAACAGUCCAAAUGCGUUCCUGGUGCUCCGCACCCCCCCACCCCUCCCACUGUGUUCCCCCGUGGGCCUCUGCGUGGAUUCACCCCAACCCAGGAGUCUACACAGCAGCAGGGAUCACCCUCCGCCGAGGGGGCCAACGGAUGCCCUUCUGGGUGCAGGCGAAGUGAUCUGGGGGCCCCGAGACAUGACUCCCAUUAGCUGCAGAUGCGGCCCUGCAGGGGCGACGGGCCUGGGAGAGGCGGUCGAGGGGAAGGUGAACUCAAGGUCUCAGCCACCCCAGGCACGGGCCCCAAUCUGGGGAGGGAAGUCGGGUGACACUAACACUCCCACCACCCCAGACUCGGAGCUCAGCACCCCCGGCAAGCGGGGUCUCCUCGCGCUCAGCCGUCUGUGAGCUGCUCAGCAAUUUGGACCUUUCACUCCUGACCAGGCCCAGUGUCCUUUCUCCGGCCUCCCUCCUUCCUCUCCUCCCUGCAGCUGCAGGGUCACGCCCCCUCCCCCAUGGGGAAGAACUCCCACCCUCCCAGUGAGGAGGGUUCAUGCCCCCGCCCAGCAAGGAGGAGUCACGCCCCCCCCCUCGAGUGGGGAAGGACCCCCGCCCCCUCCGCGGGACAGCAGGGUGGUUGGAAACGAACCCUCUGCUGGGCCUCCUAAAACCGUGGGCAGAAAGAGGCGGGGGCGCGGACUGCCCCUAACCGCCCUUCCAGAAGUCGGAUGACUAGGCCAGAAGGGCAGCCGGGAGCCCCCCAGCCCCCGGGCAGCAGCCCUGCACAGGUUUGGGUGAGGAGCCGGUUUCGGGUUUGCACCUGUCGGUGCGGCCCCGCGGUUGGAGCGGUUCCAGGGCCCCUGCCCAGCGCUCCCGGGCCCGGCCGCCACCGAGCUAAUUGCUUCAUAACGGAUGUGCGAGAACAGUCGGCAAUCCGGCACCGGUUCUCUGUCCACAAGUUGAGAUUGGAUGACUUUUUUAUCACUAAAUUAAAUUCCUUCUCUUACUUGUCUCCUUACAUUAAAUCUCUUUAAAUCUUAAUAGAGUGCAGCCUCUCCCUGCAGCUCAGGCCACUGAUAAGGCACGUGGGCUCUAGAACCCAGGGCUGGAGGGGCGGGGGUAGGCGAGGAGGAGAAGGAGACGGCGGCUCCGGAGGCUGGAAGGCCCAGGGGCGGAGAGGCUCCACGA